CCCUUAGAUGUUCUGGGCCGCACGCGCGCUACACUGAUGCAUUCAACGAGUUUUUCCUGGUCCGAGAGGAAUGGGUAACCUUUUGAAAGUGCAUCGUGCUAGGGAUAGACUAUUGCAAUUAUUGGUCUUCAACGAGGAAUUCCUAGUAGACGUAGUUCAUCAGACUGCAUCGAUUACGUCCCUGCCCUUUGUACACACCGCCCGUCGCUCCUACUGAUUGGGUGAUCCGGUGAGCUGUUCGGCCAUAGCAAUGUUUCUUGAGCAGGGCAAUGAAUGUUUCGCAAACCUUGCCACUUAGAGGAAGGAGAAGUCGUAACA
This 318-nucleotide ribosomal RNA is filed under the name uncultured eukaryote. Its description in RNAcentral is "partial 18S ribosomal RNA". It matches the Rfam family "Eukaryotic small subunit ribosomal RNA", at positions 1470 to 1796 of the family's 1831-position model. The record is from RNAcentral.